GUGCCUAAGGUAUGCAAGUCGAACGAUUCCUGUAUCUUCGGAUACAGGGAGUGGCAAACGGCUGAGUAACGCGUAGGAACCUACCCCAAACUCGAGUAUAGCCCCGCGAAAGCGGGGGUAAUCCUCGAUAGCCCGUGAAGUAUUUUACUUCACGGUAAAGCUUUUGCGGUUUGGGAUGGGCCUGCGUCCUAUCAGGUAGUUGGUGAGGUAAAUGCUCACCAAGCCUAUGACGGGUAGCUGGUCUGAGAGGAUGGUCAGCCAGACUGGGACUGCGACACGGCCCAGACUCCUACGGGAGGCAGCAACUAGGAAUUGUGCGCAAUGGACGAAAGUCUGACGCCGCGACAUCGCGUGGAGGAUGAAGGUCUUCGGAUUGUAAACUCCUUUUCUUACCGAACAAGUUCUGAGUGUAGGUAAGGAAUAAGUGCCUGCUAACCACGUGCCAGAAGCAUCGGUAAUACGUGGGGCACGAGCGUUAUCCGGAUUUACUGGGCGUAAAGAGAAGCGUAGGCGGCUCAAUAAGUUUGGUGUUAAAUCUUCCGGCUCAACCGGAAACAAGCACCGAAAACUAUCGAGAUUGAGUCGAGUAGGGAAGAGGGGAAUUCCUGGUGGAGCGGUUAAAUGCGUAGAUAUCAGGAGGAAUACCAAGGGCGAAGGCACCUCUUUGGACUCGUACUGACGCUGAGGCUCGAAAGCGUGGGUAGCAAAACGGAUUAGAUACCCGUGUAGUCCACGCCGUAAACGAUCCCUGUUAGACGU
Molecule: ribosomal RNA, 759 nt
Filed under: uncultured organism
Description: bacterial SSU rRNA
Rfam family: Bacterial small subunit ribosomal RNA
Source: RNAcentral